UAAAGACUUAAAAGUUUACUUGCAUUAAUAUAUACAAAAGUCUAUUAAUU
This 50-nucleotide transfer RNA is filed under the name Spinibdella lignicola. RNAcentral describes it as "tRNA-Ala". The record is from RNAcentral. Lineage: Eukaryota; Metazoa; Arthropoda; Arachnida; Trombidiformes; Bdellidae.